RNAcentral lists this ribosomal RNA (476 nucleotides) under Candidatus Hydrogenedentota bacterium. Its description in RNAcentral is "partial 23S ribosomal RNA". It matches the Rfam family "Bacterial large subunit ribosomal RNA", at positions 2452 to 2925 of the family's 2925-position model. The record is from RNAcentral. Lineage: Bacteria; Pseudomonadati; Candidatus Hydrogenedentota.
UCGGAUAAAAGGUACGCCGGGGAUAACAGGCUUAUCUCCCCCAAGAGUUCACAUCGACGGGGAGGUUUGGCACCUCGAUGUCGGCUCGUCACAUCCUGGGGCUGAAGCAGGUCCCAAGGGUUCGUCUGUUCGCCGAUUAAAGUGGCACGCGAGCUGGGUUUAAAACGUCGUGAGACAGUUUGGUCCCUAUCCUAUGCGGGCGCAGGAGAUUUGAUGGAAGUUGUCCCUAGUACGAGAGGACCGGGAUGAACGAACCUAUGGUGUUCCGGUUGUCACGCCAGUGGCACCGCCGGGUAGCUAUGUUCGGCAGGGAUAAGCGCUGAAAGCAUCUAAGCGCGAAGCCCCUCUAAAGAUAAGAUCUCCCUGGCUUUAACGCCCUAAAGAGUCCUGGAAGACUACCAGGUUGAUAGGCCGGAGGUGUAAGCAUGGCGACAUGUUCAGCUGACCGGUACUAAUCACUCGUGAGGCUUGGUCUU